This 239-nucleotide ribosomal RNA is filed under the name uncultured bacterium. RNAcentral's name for it is "partial 16S ribosomal RNA". It matches the Rfam family "Bacterial small subunit ribosomal RNA", at positions 102 to 334 of the family's 1533-position model. The record is from RNAcentral.
CGACGGGUGAGUAACACGUAUGCAAUCCACCUGUAACAGGGGGAGUAACCCGGAGAAAUCCGGACUAAUACCCCAUAAUAUGGGCGCUCCGCAUGGAGAGUCCAUUAAAGAGAGCAAUCUUGGUUACAGACGAGCAUGCGCUCCAUUAGCCAGUUGGCGGGGUAACGGCCCACCAAGGCGACGAUGGAUAGGGGUUCUGAGAGGAAGGUCCCCCACAUUGGAACUGAGACACGGUCCAA